RNAcentral lists this ribosomal RNA (467 nucleotides) under uncultured bacterium. Its description in RNAcentral is "partial 16S ribosomal RNA". It matches the Rfam family "Bacterial small subunit ribosomal RNA", at positions 28 to 506 of the family's 1533-position model. The record is from RNAcentral.
GACGAACGCUGGCGGCGUGCUUAACACAUGCAAGUCGAACGGAAAGGCCCUGCUUUUGUGGGGUGCUCGAGUGGCGAACGGGUGAGUAACACGUGAGUAACCUGCCCUUGUCUUUGGGAUAACUUCAGGGAACUGGGGCUAUUACCGGAUAGGAGCUCUUGCUGCAUGGUGGGGGUUGGAAAGUUUCGGCGGUUGGGUAUGGACUCGCGGCUUAUCAGCUUGUUGGUGGGGUAGUGGAUUACAAAGGUUUUGACGGGUAGCCGGCCUGAGAGGGUGACCGGCCACAUUGGGACUGGGGUGCGGCCCAGACUCCGACGGGAGGCAGCAGUGGAGAAUAUUGCACACUGGGCGGAAUCCUGAUGCAGCAACGCCGCGUGCGGGAUGACGGCCUUCGGGUUGUAAACCGCUUUCGCGUGUGACGAAGCGUGAGUGACGGUAAUGGGUAAAGAAGCACCGGCUAACUACGU